UUCAUAGCCAAGCGGUGCUCUGAGGGCGACGGCGGUUGGUUGAGAGACGCGUCGGUCCGUUAUAAAAGCAGGGAUACGUUUGCUCGAGAGAAGAAUAACAUGAACAUGGGGCCGUCCCUGAACAUCCUUAGCUAACAGUUUUGUAGGUUAAUGCACGUUAUGGACAAAUGUAUAUUGACUCCCAAGAGCAUCUACCUCUAGCACAGCAUUAAACGAUGUCUAUUCCCAUGAUGCAGCAACACUACCCUGGGCAAAGCCAGAGAGAUCAGAAGAAAACAAGAUGGCAAAAAGAGACCCAAAAUGAGAGCAGGAGCUUCAGCCUCUAGUCCCAACCCGAGCAUUACAAUAAUCUUCUGAGGUCCUGUGUUGAGUGCCCCCCAUCGUCUGAAUUUAGGCAGGUAGCAACACAAGAGAGGGUCUUCUUGGUCGUGGCAUCAAAACGGUGGAAUUCCCAUCCUCCGAAUACUGUUCUCUUCCUUCACUACCUUCUACUGGCAGGUGACGACCUUGCUUUGUUUGGUGUUUUCUCAAUCACCUCUUUUUUUGUUGUUGUUUGGUGUUUUCUCAAUCACCUCUAUCUGAGAAUUUUAAGGAAACAACAACUGAAUGGAAAACUCCUGGUGUCCUUUUACCACUGUGCUAUAGAGAGUGUCUUAACCGACUGCAUCUGUGUAUGG
Long non-coding RNA from Sphaerodactylus townsendi, 677 nucleotides. RefSeq lists it as uncharacterized. The transcript is spliced from 3 exons. Lineage: Eukaryota; Metazoa; Chordata; Lepidosauria; Squamata; Sphaerodactylidae. The record is from RefSeq and is a predicted model, not a curated record.